Molecule: long non-coding RNA, 741 nt
Organism: Dreissena polymorpha
Lineage: Eukaryota; Metazoa; Mollusca; Bivalvia; Myida; Dreissenidae
Exons: 5
Source: RefSeq, a predicted model, not a curated record
AGGUCAGGGAAAGAUGCAGAUUUAUCCUCGGUCACUACUUUAAGGGUUUAACUACUUAAUUCACUCAUAUUAUAUAGAUCAUUGUUGUAAUGAGAUGGCUAUUAUUGGUUGUUAUAUUUACCAAAAAAGAAUCCUAAUAUAGUCCAUCUUAACAAAUAAACCACUUCUAAACAUCCGUAAUUAAGGAAUAAAAAGACGACACUGGCCUGGGUUUUUUAUCCACGGCAGAGGACAUCUGGCUUAAAGGCCUGAAAAAAAGACGACACUUGCAACAAGGAGGUAAAUAAAGUCCACCAUGAGGUCUACACUGCUUUUCGCUUUCUUGACCAUCGUUCUGACAGCCUCGUGCGUCCUCGGAAACCCCGACAAUUAUGGCACAGGUGACGGAGACAUUCGCGGCAAGAAUGCCCAAGCAAACAUGGACGAAUACGAUGGCGGAAUGAUAGACGAAUACCACAGCAAGAUUGAUGGGAAAAUGGGCUUGGGUGAUGGACGUGUGGGAAAAAAAUUAUUCUGCUAUUGUAAAUUUUUUAGUUGCAAACGCGGAUGGACCAACGCUGGCAAGUGCUCUAAGUUUUGCCUUAUCCGUCCUCUCUGCCAGAAUCGAUGCUGCAGAUAUGUUAAGCAAUAACGAACAGGCAUGAUUCUGGGCAUGCAGCCUAAAGGGCGGAUUUGACUGGCAAUACGUAUAAACAAUUAUUUUGAUAUUUGCUGUAAAAACACAAAUAGAUAUAAAUAUUC